GAUGAAGAACGUAGCGAAAUGCGAUACUUGGUGUGAAUUGCAGAAUCCCGUGAACCAUCGAGUCUUUGAACGCAAGUUGCGCCCGAAGCCAUCAGGUUGAGGGCACGUCUGCCUGGGCGUCACAUAUCGUUGCCCAAUGCCUAUUGCAGUGCAAUAGGAAUUUCUAGGGCGAAUGAUGGCUUCCCGUGAGCGUUGUUGCCUCGCGGUUGGUUGAAAAUCGAGUCCUUGGUAGGGUGUGCCAUGGUAGAUGGUGGUCGAGUUAGAACGAUACCGAUCAUGUGCAUGCUCCCCAAAAUAUGGCCUCUAUGACCCACACGCGUCUUUUGACGCCCAUGACGAGACCUCAGGUCAGGCGGGGCUACCCGCUGAAUUUAAGCAUAUCAAUAAGCGGAGGA
This 395-nucleotide unclassified non-coding RNA is filed under the name soil metagenome. RNAcentral describes it as "partial contains 5.8S ribosomal RNA, internal transcribed spacer 2, and large subunit ribosomal RNA". The stretch from base 1 to 122 matches the Rfam family "5.8S ribosomal RNA", at positions 35 to 154 of the family's 154-position model. The record is from RNAcentral.